UACACGCUGUGACUAGCAUAUCAAUAAGCGGAGGAAAAGAAACUAACAAGGAUUCCCCUGGUAACGGCGAGUGAAGCGGGAAGAGCUCAAAUUUGAAAUCUUAAAGGGUUUCCCUUUACGAAUUGUAGUUUAAAGAAGUGUUUUCUGUUGAGGUUUUGGUAAAAGUUCUUCGGAAUAGGACAUCAUAGAGGGUGAGAAUCCCGUAUUUGACCUUUACUUUCAACUUUGUGAUACACUUUCAAAGAGUCGGAUUAUUUGGGAAUGCAGUCCAAAAUGGGUGGUAAAUUUCAUCUAAAGCUAAAUAUUGGCGAGAGACCGAUAGCGAACAAGUACCGUGAGGGAAAGAUGAAAAGAACUUUGCAAAGAGAGUUAAACAGUACGUGAAAUUGUCAAAAGGGAAGCGUUUGACACCAGUGUUGUUUUUCUGAAAAUCAAUUAAAGAACUGUUUAUGCUAAGUUGUUUAGACUUUAUCAGCUAACUGUUUAGUUUUGAGCUUUUCUUUAAUGCACUUUUCAGUUAACAAGUCAACAUCAAUUUCUUUUGCUGUAAAAAAGCUUGAGGAAGGUGGCUUGAGAUUCGUCUUAAGUGUUUAUAGCCUCUUGCCUAUGCAGUCGGAGAGAUUGAGGUCUGCAGCGUAGAUCCUUCGGGGCUAAAUGCAUUUGUGCUAAGUUAUAGCAUUUUAUAGACAACUUGUUGACUAUGAUUUGUCUUGUAGCUUACUCGCUUAUGUUAUUUUACCUACGCUUAGGAUGUUGAAGAUGUAGCACAUCAU
RNAcentral lists this ribosomal RNA (773 nucleotides) under uncultured Neocallimastigales. Its description in RNAcentral is "partial large subunit ribosomal RNA". It matches the Rfam family "Eukaryotic large subunit ribosomal RNA", at positions 22 to 635 of the family's 3401-position model. The record is from RNAcentral. Lineage: Eukaryota; Fungi; Neocallimastigomycota; Neocallimastigomycetes; Neocallimastigales.